This 2183-nucleotide long non-coding RNA is filed under the name Sus scrofa (pig). RNAcentral's name for it is "lncRNA (ENSSSCG00030019481.1)". The record is from RNAcentral. Lineage: Eukaryota; Metazoa; Chordata; Mammalia; Artiodactyla; Suidae.
CUUCAUUCUAGAAUUCACUUAAACUCUACCAAACUGCAGGCCUCACUCUCAUAGGGACAAAGCUCAUCCUAUGAUGAUUAUCCUAUGACAGGAAAAGCAGAUUAAAUGUGUCCUUAGUACCCCCAGGGCACUGAGUUAAUCAUUCACUGUUAUUCCCUUGCCGGGAAGGUGUGAGAUGUAGAAGAGAUAAGGUAUCCCAUCCAUGCUUUUCACUCUUGGAAGCAGAAUGGAAAUUCUCUUCCUUUAUGCAGAUAUAAUUAGUGGGGACUAAGUGUUUGCUCCUAAUAACCUCUAUGAUGUUAUCUGUACAUAAGGGGAUUCAAAAAGGAUGUCUUUUUUAGUAAUAACGAUGUUAUACGAUGAAAGUCAAUCACUAACACCAAAAAAAAAUCUCUAUGAUCAAUUACAAGAGUUGUUAUACAAUUCUAAUUAUGAAAAACAAAAAAAACCAAACAGGAAAACAGGGAGUUUCAUAAAUGAUUUGAGGCUACUAUAAUACAAACACUCUGUGCUCACUAAAAUGUUAAGAAAAUUCACACAUAUUGAAGUUUGUCCAAAAAGUAACAGCAGUUUAGAUAAGCUCAUAAACAUGGUUUGCUCCCAAGCCAAAGUGUAUCAACCCAAGUCAUGUUGUUUGGAGAAUCUGAAGAAAGUGUGAAAAUUUCUAUCAUCCCCACAAAGAAGAGAUAGGAGAUCAGGAGAAUAGAGAGGAGAGAUGGGUUGUACUCAAAAAGAGCAAUGAACACCUGCCUUGUGUGCAGCAUGGGUUUCUCACAAGUGCUGACAUGGGCAAACACUCCAGGGAUCAGGGGGAAUUGGUGAUCUAGUAAAAUAUGGUCUUUAGCUAAAGGUCAAAUGAAAUUGUACUGGAAACCUUGGGGAUACUUUAAAGUGGGAACUAAAGACAGGGGCUGCUCAUUAGAGCUUUUGCUUAAGUACCAGUUUCACUUUAUCAGGGAAAUUGUUCAUUUGUGUGAAAAUGUGACCUCUGUCAGUUUGCCAAGCAGGCUGGACCCUGGGGUGAUCUCAGGCUCACGUGUGCCUGCAGAAGUUAAAGCUACCUGGGGACUACUUUCAAAGGACAUUGCCAAGGAGGUGGAAAAGGUCGAGUCAUGCUGAACAUUAAGAUUGGAAAUAGGUAAGCCAGCACAAGCCAACAUGCAGUGCAGCUCACUGUCACAGCCAGAAGGAGCUAAUUGUAUUAGUUAUGGUAAUAGUGCCCUCCAGAGGACUUCUGCAGGAAUUCGAAAGGCAUAGGGAAAAUUAAAGGUGGUGAAGAUAAUGGAUUUAAAUACAUACUUAUAAAGCAAGUUAACAUAUUAAUCUUGCCUAGAUAAUUAAAAUAUACUUAGAAUAUAUUUUAAAUUUAGUGCUGAAAGCUAACACUAUCUUCAUAAAAAUAUCAACAAGCAAACAUGAUUUAAAUAUUUUAGGCCAUUUGUGAAUCCAUACUUAUAUUCUUGGUAUAUUCUAAAAAAUGUGAUAUGUUAUUUUAAAGUUAAAUCCAGGAAACAGUAAAGGACUGAGAUUAACGAGUUUAAAUUUGUGAUCCUGUUGUUACUUUUCCUUUGUGGUAUUUCUGAGUCUUCAGAAUUUAGUGUAAACAGUGGUAUAUUCUAACAUUAAUAUCUAGUAUCAUUGAAAUGAGGCAAAAUUAUAACAAGCACGAUCAAUUAUUGAAAGUAAAUGAAAUGGGAGACUCCAAAGCACCAGAUUAUAGACAGUAAGCCCCACUUACACCACAAAAUAUUAACGAGAUAAAAAUAGGUGAUAAAUAACUAAAUGAAAAUAAGAGGCCUCUGUGUUUAUCAUUUAAAUAUUUAUACUUUCUUAAUUUUAAAGAAUGAAUAAUGAUUAUUUCACAUAAUGAUUUAUUUUAAUUAUCAUCAAAAUUGCUUCUGCUACUUUAUUAUGUUAGACACUUAGGCAAAUGCUGGGAAAAGGGAAUUCAUAUUUAAUGAUUUCACUGCUUUUUACCUCACUCACCAUUGUUAGCCACCCAUCAUAAUGAUUUUCUGCAUUUGAAAUUGUUUCUGUAAUUUACUAAAAUAGCUAUGAAUAAUUGAAAUUUUUCUCUUGACGUUUAAUAUUAUAAACCACAAAAAGAACAAGAGUGAAAAAAUAAUAACAAAGGAAUGAGAACAACAAAUAAAAAACAGUAACAAAUAUGGUAGAUAAGUUAA